CUUUCUUUUGCUGGCGACCGGCGCACGGGUGAGUAACACGUAUCCAACCUGCCCUUUACUCGGGGAUAGCCUUUCGAAAGAAAGAUUAAUACCCGAUAGCAUAAUGAUUCCGCAUGGUUUCAUUAUUAAAGGAUUCCGGUAAAGGAUGGGGAUGCGUUCCAUUAGGCUGUUGGUGAGGUAACGGCCCACCAAGCCUUCGAUGGAUAGGGGUUCUGAGAGGAAGGUCCCCCACAUUGGAACUGAGACACGGUCCAA
RNAcentral lists this ribosomal RNA (255 nucleotides) under uncultured bacterium. RNAcentral describes it as "partial 16S ribosomal RNA". It matches the Rfam family "Bacterial small subunit ribosomal RNA", at positions 78 to 334 of the family's 1533-position model. The record is from RNAcentral.